AACGUAGGUACCGAGCGUUAUCCGGAUUUACUGGGCGUAAAGCGCGUUCAGGCGGUCUGGCAAGUCGGGCAUGAAAUCUCUCGGCUCAACCGGGAGGGGUUGUCCGAUACUGCUGGGCUUGAGGGCAGUAGAGGGUGGUGGAAUUCCGGGUGUAGUGGUGAAAUGCGUAGAGAUCCGGAGGAACACCAGUGGCGAAGGCGGUCUCUUGGUCCUAUACUGACGCUAAGGCGCGAAAGCGUGGGGAGCAAAC
This 250-nucleotide ribosomal RNA is filed under the name uncultured bacterium. RNAcentral describes it as "partial 16S ribosomal RNA". It matches the Rfam family "Bacterial small subunit ribosomal RNA", at positions 524 to 773 of the family's 1533-position model. The record is from RNAcentral.